GGCGCUGUAGGCGAAUUGGUAGAGCCGGCAGUCUGCAAAACUGCGCCUUCGGGCACGUGCGGGUUCAAGUCCCGUCAGCGCCUCCA
RNAcentral lists this transfer RNA (86 nucleotides) under Pseudarthrobacter chlorophenolicus. RNAcentral's name for it is "tRNA_Cys_GCA". It matches the Rfam family "tRNA". From Rfam's summary of the family: Transfer RNA (tRNA) molecules are approximately 80 nucleotides in length. RNAcentral also lists the same sequence under 1 other name. Lineage: Bacteria; Bacillati; Actinomycetota; Actinomycetes; Micrococcales; Micrococcaceae. The record is from RNAcentral.